AGAGUUUGAUCAUGGCUCAGGAUGAUCGCUGGCGGCGUGCCUAAUACAUGCAAGUCGAACGAGGUGCUUUUGUAGCAAUACGAGAGUAUCCUAGUGGCGAACGGGUGAGUAACGCGUUGGUGACCUACCCCAAAGUGUGGGAUAACAGUCCGAAAGGAUUGCUAAUACCGCAUGUGGUCUUCGGAUUUAGAGACUGAUGACUAAAGGAGCAAUUCGCUUUGGGAGGGACCUGCGUCCCAUCAGCUGGUUGGUGAGGUAAUGGCUCACCAAGGCUACGACGGGUAGGGGACCUGAGAGGGUGACCCCCCACAAUGGAACUGAAACACGGUCCAUACACCUACGGGUGGCAGCAGUAGGGAAUAUUGCACAAUGGGCGAAAGCCUGAUGCAGCAACGCCGCGUGUGCGAUGAAGGCCUUCGGGUCGUAAAGCACUUUUCUGGGAGAUGAGCAAGGACAGUAUCUCAGGAAUAAGUCUCGGCUAACUACGUG
This 489-nucleotide ribosomal RNA is filed under the name uncultured bacterium. RNAcentral describes it as "bacterial SSU rRNA". It matches the Rfam family "Bacterial small subunit ribosomal RNA", at positions 8 to 507 of the family's 1533-position model. The record is from RNAcentral.